This 263-nucleotide ribosomal RNA is filed under the name uncultured bacterium. RNAcentral's name for it is "partial 16S ribosomal RNA". The record is from RNAcentral.
GGACUACCGGGGUUUCUAAUCCUAUUCGUGAUCUAUGCCUUCGUCCCUCGACGUCAGUUUUUACAUAAAAGGUUGCUUUCGCCUUAACCAGUCCCCUAGGUAUUAACGAAUUUGAUCUCUACACUCAUAGGUACUACCUUUUUAUAUUGAAACUCUAGAAAAUUUUAUCUUGAAAAGAGUCAAAUAUUUCCGUCUAGGUACCCUUUAAACCUAUUAAAGAUGAAUAACACUAGUCUUUAGCGUCUUACCGCGGCUGCUGGCAC